CUUUGAGUUGGGGCAACUGUGGAGAAAAACAAAACCUCCAUGAACUAGGAUUUACCAUCCAUUCCAGGCCUACCAGCCAAAAAUAACCGACAUCGACCCAGUAAUACUGAUCAUCGAACCAAGUUACCCCGGGGAUAACAGCGCUAUCCCCUCCAAGAGUCCACAUCACCGAGGGGGUUUACGACCUCGAUGUUGGAUCAGGGCCCCCAGGCGGUGCAGCCGCUGCCAAAGGUUCGUUUGUUCAACGACUAACGCCCUACGUGAUCUGAGUUCAGACCG
This 279-nucleotide ribosomal RNA is filed under the name Paroedura gracilis. Its description in RNAcentral is "partial 16S ribosomal RNA". It matches the Rfam family "Bacterial large subunit ribosomal RNA", at positions 2267 to 2618 of the family's 2925-position model. The record is from RNAcentral. Lineage: Eukaryota; Metazoa; Chordata; Lepidosauria; Squamata; Gekkonidae.